ACGCAUCUAUUUGACAGACCUGAAGCAGUUACUGUCUGCUAAGGUUUACACUACAGAUGCAAGAAAAACAUCCUCGUGCUUUCUGCCUGUCUGAUUGUGGCAGCCCAGAUUGAAUGGGGGAACACAGGG
Bison bison bison is the source of this 129-nucleotide small nucleolar RNA. The record is from Ensembl. Lineage: Eukaryota; Metazoa; Chordata; Mammalia; Artiodactyla; Bovidae.